GGCGGAACACAAAUAUAUUAUGACAGGAGAAAAUUUGACUUUGAGUAGUGGGCACAUGGUGCAAUAUACAGAUUUUGUAACAUAGAAACCC
Long non-coding RNA from Myotis brandtii (Brandt's bat), 91 nucleotides. RefSeq lists it as uncharacterized. NCBI's taxonomy places the organism in Eukaryota, Metazoa, Chordata, Mammalia, Chiroptera, Vespertilionidae. The transcript has 3 exons. The record is from RefSeq and is a predicted model, not a curated record.